RNAcentral lists this ribosomal RNA (78 nucleotides) under Escherichia coli. RNAcentral describes it as "partial 16S ribosomal RNA". It matches the Rfam family "Bacterial small subunit ribosomal RNA", at positions 1 to 78 of the family's 1533-position model. Lineage: Bacteria; Pseudomonadati; Pseudomonadota; Gammaproteobacteria; Enterobacterales; Enterobacteriaceae. The record is from RNAcentral.
AAAUUGAAGAGUUUUAUCAUGGCUCAGAUUGAACGCUGGCGGCAGGCCUAACACAUGCAAGUCGAACGGUAACAGGAA